AUCUUUCUAGUAUAAUAUACAAGCGACUUCCAAUUGCUAAAUCUUGAUUAAAUCUCAAGGAAAGAUA
This 67-nucleotide transfer RNA is filed under the name Neocyema erythrosoma. Its description in RNAcentral is "tRNA-Gly". Lineage: Eukaryota; Metazoa; Chordata; Actinopteri; Anguilliformes; Cyematidae. The record is from RNAcentral.